CCUACGGGUGGCAGCAGUGAGGAAUAUUGGUCAAUGGACGAGAGUCUGAACCAGCCAAGUAGCGUGAAGGAUGACUGCCCUAUGGGUUGUAAACUUCUUUUAUAAAGGAAUAAAACGUGCCACGUGUGCGUUUUUGUAUGUACCUUAUGAAUAAGGAUCGGCUAACUCCGUGCCAGCAGCCGCGGUAAUACGGAGGAUCCGAGCGUUAUCCGGAUUUAUUGGGUUUAAAGGGAGCGUAGAUGGAUUGUUAAGUCAGUUGUGAAAGUUUGCGGCUCAACCGUAAAAUUGCAAUUGAUACUGGCAGUCUUGAGUACAGUUGAGGUAGGCGGAAUUCGUGGUGUAGCGGUGAAAUGCUUAGAUAUCACGAAGAACCCCGAUUGCGAAGGCAGCUUACUAAACUGCGACUGACAUUGAUGCUCGAAAGUGUGGGUAUCAAACAGGAUUAGAUACCCGUGUAGUC
Molecule: ribosomal RNA, 460 nt
Filed under: uncultured bacterium
Lineage: Bacteria
Description: partial 16S ribosomal RNA
Rfam family: Bacterial small subunit ribosomal RNA
Source: RNAcentral